GAUGAACGCUAGCGGGAGGCUUAAUACAUGCAAGUCGAGCGGCAAGGUCUUCGGACCCUAGAGCGGCGCACGGGUGAGUAACGCGUACGCAAUCUGCCCUUCAGUGAGGAAUAGCCCUGGGAAACUGGGAUUAAUACCUCAUAAUAUUAAUUGUCUGCAUGGAUGAUUAAUUAAAGUUCUGGCGCUGAAGGAUGAGCGUGCGUCUGAUUAGCUAGUUGGUAGGGUAACGGCCUACCAAGGCGACGAUCAGUAGGGGGCGUGAGAGCGUGACCCCCACA
Molecule: ribosomal RNA, 278 nt
Filed under: uncultured bacterium
Lineage: Bacteria
Description: partial 16S ribosomal RNA
Rfam family: Bacterial small subunit ribosomal RNA
Source: RNAcentral